Long non-coding RNA from Felis catus (domestic cat), 979 nucleotides. RefSeq lists it as uncharacterized. NCBI's taxonomy places the organism in Eukaryota, Metazoa, Chordata, Mammalia, Carnivora, Felidae. The transcript is spliced from 4 exons. The record is from RefSeq and is a predicted model, not a curated record.
GCCUUCCCUUCCAAUGACUUCCUUUGUUAUCAAAAAUGGAAAAGGAGCCCACAUCCCAGAAAAGUGAAAAAGAACAAAGACUAAAGAAAAACAGCUAAUCUGGAGUCAGUUGCAGUGGAAGACAUUUCUCAGGCAGUUGACAAAGACUAUGAUCAGCUCCUAAAGCAACAAGGGAGGAUUGCGUUAUGCAGUUAAGUACAGACAACGUCCUCCAGGAACCCAAGUUAGCAGAUAGAGAAGAAACUUGUUUGGGGUCCUUUGGCCUCUGUGGUGGGGGUGGCGGCUACCCUAAGAGGCACGGGAGGAGGGGACAGCGGACAGGUGGGGAGAGGGGGGCACCAGUAGCUCUGUGGCCGAGACCAACACGGAACACAUUCUUUGCCUCUGCACAAAUGAGCUGAAGACUUCUGAGAACAGAAAACCAGAGACCAAACCGGAAUGAGGAGACCUUCUUCCGUGUCUCUCAGACAGAAGCGAGUACGUGUUCUAACUUCUCGUCCCUUCCACAUCCCUCAAGGAGCAUUCUUUUGGAUGCCUGCGUGAAGUCUGAGUCUCAGUAAUCAUGUGGAACUCCAAAGAGAACUGCUUAGUUUUAAGGAACAGUGCCAACUAAUUACUGCUUACGUUCUUAUAUGUGGCACAAGAGGAGUCCGUCUGUGUGUACAUACAUGCAUACUUUUGAACUUAAAAUCACUUGGUCUGCUUCCCCAUCCCCCAAGAAACAGCAGCGCUCUGCUGGGAAGAAGAUAAAACCUGUAAAUUCCUGUGGAAAGAACUGGUAUUUUAGGAUAUGGUCUCUCCAUCCAGAAGCAACACAGUAGAGAAAACGGGGCCUCAUAACUCAGAUAACCCAAGAUCCAGAAGACAAUGCACCUAGAGGUGAAGUGACAGGAGAAAGUGAUUUGCUGAAGGUCCGCCAAGUGGAUCAAUGGACAAGAAAGAUCCAUUAACUAAUUUACUCCUGGGAUGUGCAGGAAAC